AAAAAACGCAAAACAUUCAACCAAUAGUAUCUUAAACAGUUUCUGCGAACGCACUACAACACAGAAAAAGCGUAGAAACUUUUGUUUAGAAAUAUUGAUUUGGAAAAAGAGUUAAAAGUAUUUUUGCAAACAUUUAUUUAACAUUCAUACAUAAAAGUUUUACCGGGAUACCACGUGGAGAGUUAGCAAUUAAGUUAUUUAAAUAAUUAAUUUUCAAAAUGUGUAUGAAAAUGAAAUUUUACGACAAUGAAAUUUAACACUGAAUCAUUUACAUUGUGUUUAAAGUGAUAGUUUACAUUACAAUUUAAUUUAUUGUAUAAUUGAGACAACGUUGCCCAGAACUACAAACUACAGAUUGAGAUUUACACAUAUAUUCAUACUCACAUUUACUCGUGGUAAGUCUAUUUUGAUAUUUGUUAUCUAUUCAUACUCACAAUUACUCGCGGCAAGAUAAUUUUUAUAUAUUCUUAAAUUGAUUCUAGCAGAUUAGUUCUUGAGAAUCUCACUAAUUUAUUUUACUUGGCUACUCCUUUUAGUUAUAAAGUUCUCAAAUGUUCUACGUUUUUAUAUAUCUCAUGCUUUCGAAAGUUUUCUGUAAGACUUUUCCCGAUAAAGGUAAAUCAAGAGAAGCGCUUUUAAAUCUCUAAAUGACCUGAAAAUGUUAUUAAUUUUGAUUUAUUUUAUUCUUAGCUAUUUUUGUAUGUCCCUUAUUGGUCAUGAUGAUCUUAACGUUUCGGUACAUUGAAACAUCCUUAUUAUAUGAAUGUUCGGGUUUUAGCGUUUCUGAUGAAAGCAAAUAUAGAAGAAGAAACAACAACCCUUAAGCGCAAUUUAUUUAUAAAGCGUUAUAUGCGUUUAAAUAAAAAAAAAAGUGUUCAAGAGUUUUUGUUGUUAAACUAAACAAGUUCCUAGACUUAGAAUUCGAUCACUGUUUAAGCUGAUAAUAGUUUUAAACUGAUAUCGAACUUUAUAAAAAACAGUUUGUUUUGUAAGUAAUCCUUUUUCACCUAAUGUAUUUGUAAUUCUUUUUGAAUUUGAUAUUAAAAAGAAUUAAACAACUUCGAAUUAUCAUAUCAAAUGCGACACAAAAUAUGUAUGACAAGUUUCAUCCAUCAAUGGUACUUAUAAUACGUACCACAAUCAUUUGUGUUGCCUUAAUCCCUUAAUUAUGAUUAAGCGUUUUUCGUCAUGCUACUUUUAUUGAAUCGAAUUCUUUAUAAUGUCUAAAAGUCAAACCUGUUAUUUAUCAUUUCGGAAAUACGUCACAUUUAAGUUUGUAUCCGAUGUUUAGCUACUUCCGUAUUUGGUCAAUUCUUUAGUUUUCUUUGUUGUUUUGUUUUUUGAUUUAGUGAAUACGGCUUGAUUGUUGAACAUUACCCACCUGGCUUAUCAUUUAGAUCGAUAGUCCCCUGAAUAACACAACGCGUAAGCAUAACCUGGUGUAUUCACCUUCAAAUAUUUUUAAAUAACAAAAUCCUUAAGUACUUUACAAGUUGGUACCAGACCAUACCAUUCACUCAUUUUGUUGAGUAAUUAUUAUAGGCCUUCAGUUUACAUUUGGCAAAUAUGAUGACACAUGCUGAUAAAAGAUGUCAUAAGUACAGUAAUAACAAUGUUGCAAACAAUUUCAAUGAGCGAUUUAUGAAUCGAAUAUUGUCGACAAUACAAUGAUUGUCAUUCUGUAGUUAAUUUUUUAGUCAGUGUUUCAAAUUGCUUAUUUGCGAUAUGGCGAUUUUUGACAGAUUCUUUUUACUUUUUAAUGCAUAAUCAAGUAAAAGUAGAUUCCCGUUGUAAAUUAAGACAAAAUUAGUUUAUUGAUGUACAAAUAUCACGAAUCUCCCAAGAAGACAAGUUGAGAGGAAAAAACCAAAACAAUCUGAGGAAAUCGCAUAGACGCAAAAAGAAGCGAUAUAGCGGCUUACGAUUCUAAAACAUUACUCAGUACUCGAAUUUUGAGCUCGAAAAAACAAUUAAAUUGGUUUUUUUUAUGUCUGAGUCUGCAUAUGUGAACAAAGUCGCACUCCAAAUGUUUAUGACUCUAAGGCCAGGUGUGUCGAUAUGAUAGGCGUAUUUAUGCAUAUUGUACACGCUAUACCAAAAGAUGACAAUGGAAGAUAGGACACAAUCGGUAAAAAUUACAGAUUAGAAGACUACAGACAAAUUUCAGUUUUGUAUCUACUGGUGCUAGUUUUCAAGCUUAUAUCGGUCAAUACCAACUUUUCACUUGUUCUUGUUAAAUGAACAAUGGAUAUUGUUUCUGGGGAUCAGUGUAGAAACAAUACUAAAUUUCUGACAAAUAAUAAAUUUGUCUCCAAACGAGAUCGUAUCUAUGAAUGCUCUUUACACAUAUAUAUAACUUGUAACCAGAACUACUUUCUAGUAAUUUAAUGAUUAAGGAAAUGCGAUUCCGCAAAAUAGUAUCCUUAAUACAUUUGACUCUUCGUUUAUCGGCCAUUAACGAUAUAAACAACAUACAGUUCUCAAUUAGAUAUAGAUUUAAGCUUAGUUUCCGUACGUUAAGUAUAGUUUUACCAUUUGCACUUUUAUUGCAAAUUUAGUUAAUUUUUUAAGCAGUUAUAGAUUUGCAUAGAGACUUUUUUCAACUCGAAAUAGGUUAACAGAUACAUUGAUGUUUAUUGCAUAAAGUAGCAUUCUAUACGACGUUUUAGAUUUUUCGUCAUGAAAUUUUGUAGGCCUAAGACAUAAUGACAACUCUAAAUUCAUUUUAAUAGCCUAAUGGUAUGUGCAAAUGUGUUUUUAUAUCAAAAAGUUAAAUCACAAAAAUACUUUACUCCGAGAAAAUAUCAAAACGGAAAAUCCCUUAUCAAUUGGCAAAAUCUAAAGCUCUAACACACCAAACGAACCGAUAACAACUGUCAUAUUCCUGAUUUGGUACAGGUAUCAAUUGUUAGCAUUGUAUUUUGAACAGGUAAUCUAAAGGCUGCACACAGUUUUUAAAAGUACACAAUAGUUAUCAAAGGUACCAGGAUUAUAUUUUAAUACGUCAGACGCACGUUGCGUCUACAUAAGACUCAUCAGUGACGCUCAGAUCAAAAUUGUCUAGUAUGCAAUUGUCUAAUGUUUAUAAAAGUUAAAAAUAGAACAGAAAUAUAUCUGUGAACAACCAAUUCUCGAAAUAACGAAAAACAUUAAUACAUCAUGUAUACCAAAAAUAGAUAACAUAAAAUAUCUUAAUCAUCUUCUUUUUUAAGGGAGAAGGGGGUCGCUGUACAAAUUCGCAUCCACUUCCGGUCAAAAUGUGAACCUUCAAUCAUAUGCCUUGUGUAAAGAGAGUAAUGCUCUCUUUGCACGUUAUGAACGUUAAGAAACUGUACAACAACUAUUUAUGGGGUCCGUUUGUGGCCUUUUUUAACACAAUAAUUGUGUUUAUAUCCAAUAUACCCUCAUUUUACAAUAUCUGUCCAACUUGAAUCGACGUUCAUCCGUGACGGUCUAUAUGACAGGACCAACCUCUUGAAUUUUUGAAAAAAUAUUCUAUAUAUAUAUAACAUAUAUGAAAUAUUGUCCACUGGACGUUAUUCAAGCAACAAUCGAUUAACACCAGUAACAUUGAAAGACAUCGAGACUAGAGGUGUACCGGUGUGACUCUAUUACGAUUUAAAAGAAAUGUCGGAAAUCUUAAGACAUUACACCACAAGAACCUCAAAACAAUAAACCAAGAUAGUAGUAUAUCAUUGAAAAACAUACGACUUGUAAAUUAAUAACUCUUGAAUUUAAAUGGCGUAACGCUUAGUGCUGAUAGUCAUGCCAAGUACGCCGACAGGGCAGGUCAACACGUUCUUAUUUGAUAGAAUGUUCACCCGAUCGGAAGUGAAGCCAAGUCAACCGACAUGCAGAUCGACACGUUCUUAUUUGAUAUAAUGUCCUCUCGGCCGGUAGUAAAGCCAAGUCACCGACAGAGCAGGUCGACACGUUCUUAUUUGAUAUAAUGUCCUCUCGGCCGGUAGUAAAGCCAAGCCACCGACAGAGCAGGUCGACACGUUCUUGUUUAAUAUAAUGUUCAUUCGGAAGCUAAUCGAUCUCGUGAUUUAUCCACUAACUCGUUAAUUAUAUCACCUAUGAUGACUAUACAUUAUAUAUCAUUUAAUCAAACAAAAGUGUAUUCCUAAUCUGUUAAAGUGUCCCUUAGUGCAAUAGAUGCACAUUAUCUUAUUAACCUGAAGGAAAUUAACGUUAAUAAUUAACUUUCAUUGGUGUCCUUACAAACAUUCUAUCAUUAUGAACUUUAACUUAGUAACUAACUUUGAUAUUACAAUUAAUAGGCAAUUGUUCUUUUUGUUUUCAAUGACGUACGACAAUCUUCUAUGUACCAGAGUACGAAUAAUAUGGAUUUAAGUAACUAUUUUCCGAAGUCAGGAGCCGGUAAUUCAGUGGUUGUCGUUUGUUGCUGUGUAACAUAUUUUUUGUUCGUUUCUUUUUUGUACAUUAAUUAGGCUGGUCGUUUUCUCUUUGAACUGUUUUACAUUUGUGAUUUCGGGACCUUUUAUAGCUGACUAUGUGGUAUGGGCUUUGUUCUUUGUUAAUAGCCGUACAGUGAUCUAAAGCUGUCAAUUUACGUGUAAUUUUGUUUCUUGUGUUAUCAUUGGCAAUCGUACUACAUCUUCUUUUCUAUAAAUAUGGUCAUAAUAUUUCCCUCAACAAGAAGCAAAACAAAUACACGAUAGUAAGCCAUAAAAGGUUCCGAAUUGACAAAAUCGGAAAAAUUCAAACGACAAGAAACCAAACAAACAGAUUUAUAACAAAACCAUCUUAACGUAAAACAAAUACUACAGACAGCAACCGAAGACAACCACUACACUGUAGGCUCCUAAUUUGGAUACAUGGUACAUGCACAAAUAACUCUAUUGAAAUUAAUAAGCAGAUUAAAUUAUUGAUUCGUAUUGCCAAUUUUAAUUAUAGCUCAAAUAACUGUAACAACAGUUAUGUUACAGUUUUCCCGCGCAAACAAAAAUGCAGCAGAUACCAAGUAGGAACCAAAAAAUAUCAGUCUUAGUAAAAUUCAAGAUGACUACGACACGUCCAAAUGAGAAAUGGCGAAUAUAUAAUAUCUUACAAAACAAACCCCUUAAAAAAAUGAAAAACGGGAUGAUCAACGUAUCCAGGAAGGGUAAACAGAUUACAGUAGAGUCUUAAAUCUAUUCGAACAGUUCUGUUUUAGAACUUUUAUUUGGAAAAUUAAUAUUGUCAACAAUUUUGCAAAAUCCACUCCUUAACGGAAUCUAAUUUGUUUUCAUACAGUCACUAAAGGUUCUACCAUUGUAAUUGAGACUACAUGCAAGAUACUUUAUGACGAAUUAAUAUGUUUUUUCUAAAACCUAAUUAGUUUGCGUGUUCAAUUUUUCAACAAUUUGAUAAAUUUGCUAGAAAUUUUCAAAUUGAAUUAAUUCCACCCAAAAGCAUGCUGAUUUGUACUUAUAAUAUUCGAUAAAAAAGGAAUUAAAGUAUAAUCAAGCAAUUUAUUGAAUUUCAAACGCUCAUUUUUAAAUGUUCUAUUUAACAAAUAUUUCUAUGAAACUGGCAUCUUCAGAAUGCUAGAUAUUUUUGUUGAGAACAUAUUUGUUACGUUUGGAGGACGUUUUUGCAAAAAAAUAUCAACAAUCUAUAUGGGUACAAAUUGUGCAUUUUUUAUGCUAUGACAAGCUAUAACUUGUCUCUAGGAUGCAUAAUUUAUCAGAAAUAAUCGAAGAUUAGCCGUUGAAACCAAACUAUUGAAAAAUCGAAUAGCUUUUUAAAGUAAACUAAAAAGACUAGGUCUUUAGUUUGUGAUAGGCACAUAAUCAUGUGGCUUACCAAAAAAGGAAAGCUCGGAUCUGAAUUUCGCCGAGUGUUGUAAGUAAGCAUUGUACUAUUAUAAACGGAAAAUUCUAUCAAUUCCUAUAAAUACGAAUUGUUCUAGGAAUUGCGAAAUAUUUUCUUAAGCUAUGCUGACAAUUUAAAAUAAAAACAUAACAGAUUAUAAGUUUAACAAGUAAUACAAAAUUGUAAGUUACAUUGUAAUAAAGAAGUCUUUAGAUAGACCCCCUAUCACUUUUUAGUCAUACAAUGUGUAUAACCUGCAUUGAAAUACAAAUAAACAGCACAAUACACGAACGAAAGUUCAGGUAACGAAACAUGCGCAUGAGCAGACAAGAUCAGAAGCAUGAUAGACAAACAUCAAAAAUUAAAUCUACAGCAGUGAGUAAUAUAAUCUGUCAUCUAAUAAGAGAGUUAAAGCAAAAACCGUUUGAAGACGGCAGUGCAAAUAUGUGCAACAUUGGAUGGGUAAAUGUACUUGCAACAGUAAAAUUGCAUUAUUCAUAUGGAAUGCAUUGAAUGAAUUUUAUUUAAUUAUGUUGUAAAUAGUUAGACGCUUUAUCAAUAAAUAUAGAACAAUUCUCUUGUGAAUUUUGUAACUUUAGACGUUUGCCUUCCGUCAAACUUAUGCUCUGAUAUUUGUAUGCACUUUAAAAGCAUAUUAGUACUUGGUGUUAUGUUACUAGUGCUAACAGUCACAAGCUUUCACGGCGAAUAGAAAUUCUCUUUUAUUAUUCAUUUUAAAUUAUUGAGCUCUCUUGGUACUUUUUUGUUUGAUUAUGUUUGACCUUGUUGUUGGAACAUUUGAAUUGAUUCAUAGAAAAUUUGAUACUGUAGACAAGUCUAUUGAAAAAUUUAUAUGAAUAACAUGCAUGAUUUUUUGUGAUCAAGAGGAAUUCAUAUUAGUAUAGUGUAAAGGAUCGAGCUACAUUUUUUUUUUAUUGAAAGAUGAGCAAACUACGAGAGCAAACGUGUAUUUGGUUGCACCUGUCCUAAGUCAGGAAAAUGAUGUUCAGUACUUGUCGUUUGUUGUUGUGGUUCAGAAAUGAUUCUCGUUUUUUAUAUAUAUUAGACGGUUGGUUUUUCCGUUUGAAUGGUUUGACAAAAGUCAUUUUUUGGGCCCUUUAUAGCUUGCUGUACGAUGUGAGCCAAUUGAAGGAUAUGUGUUAAAGACCAUACUUUGAUAAAUAAUGACUGAGACGGGGAGUUGUCUGAUUGGCGCUCAUGCCACGUCUUCUUACAUCUAAAGGAUAUUCAAAAUAAUAGUCCCCUAUUUCUUUUUUGAUUGGUGUGCCUAUUUUCUUUUUUUUAACGUUUGUGAAUGAAAUGUUCGAUAAAGGGAAAAUACAACGAAUUGGUUUCAAAUUUCUUUUUUUUUUAUUUUGUUUCUGUAAUAGUUACUUGAUUACUCAAUUUCAAGAAGACGUCCUCUGUUUAAUUCCGUGCUAUUUAAACACGGACACGCUCGCCUGCCUGGCAAAUGAGUAGGGACAAAAAGGGUCAAAAUCGGCCCACUUCAAAAGUAUAUGAUUUUGUUUUCAAAAUAUCUGACAGCUAGUUUAAAGCCACUAACAACUUAUAAAAUAAAUUCAUGCAUCUAAGACUAAAUUUUCUGUAAUAACCUGUAUGCAGAAUUUAAUUGAAAGAUGAAGUUUAUGUAUCAUGAAGUUCAUGUGUUUCCUCAAAUUGUAGUAAAUAAUUAUAACACAAUGAAAUGAAUAAUUGGUAUACCAAAGUAUUUAGUUCUUGCGUUGUAAAUUUAAUGUGAGUUUUAUCAGAAGAAAUGUAAUACAUACUGUCAUUAAACCACUAAUUUAACGUUAACUUUCUUUAUUUUUUUUACAUUUUGUUAAAUCUGCAUUUUAUUCAUCUGAAUGUGACGGCACUAUUAGCGUGAUUCAAAUUUUUCUUUUCAUGUGUCUCUGAUUGAGGCCGUUGAUCAUUGUGUUGAUGACAUGCAGUAUAAAUAAAUAACUUGAUGUUGAAUUAAUUAGUAUAUAGGAGAAACCCAUUGAAUAAAGUGUAGGUACUUUAAAAAUUGUACGUAAUUUUGUGUUGAACUUUUUAAACCUAAUUGACUAAAAAUCCUAAAAUAUAUAAAAAAAUCCAGUCAGUAGGAGGAAUUUAUCUUCUAUGUUUAACCCACAAUUGAAAUGACGUUUUAAGAUGUUUGAAAGUGAUGUAGAUAUUAUGUAGUGUUUACAAGGGGUCGUCUUGAUCGUGCAGGAAAUAUUUGCCACUGGACGUUAAGCAACAAUACAAUCAAUCUGUUUAACACAGGCAAAUACAAAACCAUAACUUUUUUAUUUUAGAUUAUUAAUCAUGCUUUACACUGGAAUCGCUAAAUAGUUUCUCCCUUACUUUAACUUUACUCCGUUGUCGUUACAAUUGUGGUAGAACGCCGCCAUGAUUAUAAUAAACACAAAGAUUUCACUAGAAAAGCUAAAUCCUUUCUUUCUUCCUUUACCUUCAUUCCAUUGCCGUACCAUUUGUGGUAGAAUUAACACCGCCAUGAUUGUAGUACAAGUAAAUCUCCGGUACACUCCGGGGAAUCUUUAGGCACGUUAAAAUGUAAUAAAAACAACUCAUUUAGUUCGUACAUUGGGUAAACCUAAAGGUUAUUUUGUAUUGUUCCGUGUUUUAUCGGAUUUUUGUUAUCCCUUAAUUUAUCAUUUGUUGGUUUGCUUUUCGUGCUAUUAAAGAGGGUAUGGUUAGGAGAUCUUUCGUGGUCCGAUGAUUGUUUACUCUAUUGUUUACUUUAAUACUUCUUUAUUCUCUAUUCUGUGUUUUGUUUGCCCUGAUUUUCUUUCUACUUUUUCAGGGAGAAAGGUGUUCUAUUCUGCUAGUUUUGUCCAUUAUUUUCUAUUCUAUAAGCCCCAUUUAGACCGAUUUGUUUGCUCUUCAAACUCACAGUCAUUAAAGAAAGUGCAAUAAAGAAUCAGAGUAAUGUGUUUUAGUUUCUUUGUAUCCCUAAAUUUUAGUAGUUAAAGUAUUUCGUUUAAUGACACUCAUGUUAUUAUCUGGUACAUAAUGAUAAAAUUGAAAACGAGGCUGUCAGUAUCCAAGUUUGUCAAACAAUGCGAAUGUUUCUUAAUGUUAUUGCCUCUGUACAUUUAUACUUUAGAUGAAAUUCUCUUGGGCACGUCUUACACGCAGACUGAAAAUGAAAGAUGAUGAUGAUGGAUUUAUUCAACGUCCAGUGACAAGUUAAAUGCGUACUAUUUUUUUAAAAUGAGAACAGGCUAUUGUAUUAGAAAUAAUUAUGAACCCGUAUUUGUAUGAGGCCAACGUAAUUUUGCACGUGCAACAGAUAGUUAUUUCACGCACGACGUCAUGUCAUCCUACACGGACACAUACAUUUGAUUCGUGGAAUUGCAUUUCCCCCUUAAAUGAAAGAAUUGUGAUCAAACUUCACGUUUACAUUGUAUAAUUUAUUUAAUUGAUAUCGAAUAUCUAUUAAAUAAAAAAUAGCGGAUCAAAUAACCGUAAUUAAAAAUUUAAAUUUUAAUCACAAAAUUGCAUAUUUCACUGAAAGGUGAAAAUGUUGAUUUUUCGAUAGAUAAAUCUGAUCGAAAUUUUAAAGCUAGUCCGUAUCAGUUAAAAGGAAAGCAUGAUUUAAACUAUUUUAGAUUUUUUUUUAAACGGGGAUGAAUAAAAAAAAUUAAGAAGACAUUUAAAAACGUUGAACAUAAUUGUUAAAGUGCAUUUUUCAGUAGUACACCACUAUGCAGUCACCAUCGUUUAGCAAGUUUAUUUCAAACAAUAAGUAAUAGUUAGAUAACACUAACUUGUUUUACACCAUUGAAAGCAUUUUUUUCCAAUUAAAUCAUUCAUUGAAGGCAUAUUUUGCAAAGUGGAGGGAAUUUCAUCGAAUUAGUCAUUUACCCCUCAAUUUGUAAAAUGUUCUGCUAUUCACAUGACGCUCGCAUGUCCUCACAAAUCUCUAUUUAUAUUGAUUUCCCCAUUGACAGCAUAUUGUUAAAAUUAACACGUUAUUUGAACAUGUUGAAUUAUAGGAAAAAAUAACACACAAUCUGUUUAUCUGUCUCGUUUAAUUUGUGUGAGAUGGCAGUUUAUAAACUUCCCUAUACCAAGUAUACGAACACUAACAUAUGCCUAUCGUUCUCAUUCAGGAGCACCACUUUUUGUGGGAUUCUCGUUGCUCCGUCUUUAGUUUGUUUAUAGGAUCUGUAUGGGGGUAUCUUGUUUUGUCUAUGCCCUCUCUGUGUUAUUUUGUUUCAUCUGUUUUAUAAUCAUUCUCCCCGUUAUUGUAUUAGAUAAAUUUUUUUAUUUUGUUCAGCAAUUUCAUAUUUUUUAAAUGUCAAUGUGAUCUAUUUCAUGUAACCUUUAGUUCAAGAUUUAUAUGACUUAUUAAUAUUUUUGUUUUUAUUUCUUAUCAAACACAUGUUUUUUAUGUAUUUUUUAUGUUUAUGUUUUAUUCUAUCUCUUUUUUUAUAUGAAUUAUGAAAAUAAAUUCGCUGAAUUUCUCUUACAGAUAUUUAUCAUUAUAGCCCCAUAUUCUAUAAUAAAGUGCUAAGAUAAGCAACUGAAAUAAAUAACAGAUCUAUAAUUUUGAUUUUAAUUAAACUUCUCGGACUAAGGUAAAUGUCAAACUUACAUCAGGGUAAGGAAAUAUAAAAACAGAGAAAGUAGCUUUAAUCGUGAAGAAAACACAGACGAAGACGCUCUGAAAUGCAUAUUUGUAAAUAAAAACUUACAACAAAUCUUUACUGUUUGAAAUGCAUGGUUAUAUUUAUAAUUUCAAUAUUUAAUAAGGGUCAACAGUUUUAUGAUUGCCAAUGGGUCAACUAUCAAACAGAAUCCGGAAGUUGUGGAUUCAACCAACUAUAGGAAUCCGUAUGACCUUAAGGUGUCGGACCACCAAUUAAAAAUCCCUCUCUGUUCAACCAAAUUUUGCAAUUUCACAGCUUUCUAAAUAUUUUACCUUAAGUUUAACUUCAAGGAAACCAGGUAUAUCCUGAAUUGUUCAUGUAUCAUCUUUCAACAUGCCAAUUUUCAACCAUUGUUUAAAGUCUUACAAGAAAUUUCUGAUCUUGAAAACACAGGUACUACCAAAAUAACUCUUAAAUCUUAAAUUAGUGUACUAUGUAGCCCAUUAAUUCUGAGUUUUUAAUGCAAACUCAUAGACAAGUGAAUUUUGGCUCAAAAUGGUCUAAAUAUAUCUCUCUUUCACCAAAAGCUUCAUUUCUGCAAAUUUGUUGGUUAGUUUUUAAAAGUAAACAAUGACAUCAAAUGCACUAUUUUUUGUACGAGUAGGCUUUCUGUCUAAAUUGACACCUUAAACCAAUAACAAAUAACCAAGCUAAACGUAAAAGCGACAUACAGUAACCAGCGACAAUCACUGAUUUACAGGAUACUGACUUCGGACAAGCACACAGAAUGUUGUGUACCUAAAUUCGUUUGUGAGCUCUCAAUAUUUAUAACCCUUAACACUGACCGUAGUGUAACAGUUCAAAGCAAGGAUAAGCUGUUUUAACCUGAUGGAGAGAAAAGGUUUUCUUAAAAUCAAAAGGACAAAAAACGAUAUUACUUACUUUCGAUACUGUUGCAAGAUUUAAAUUGAAAAAUGAGAUACACAAAACAUGUGAUAAUAUAUUAAAAACAAAAUCUGUAUAGCUACUCUUUAAAUAAUUGUUCAUUCUUUAAAUAGGACUCUAAAAAAUAAUUGUGAAAACGUAACUACAGAUAACUCAAAUCAUUAAAAAAGUCACUGUGUUUACCGUUAAAAAAAUAACGUCUUUAUUUCAAAUAAUUGUCAAUCACAUAUAUAUGUCCUGGUUAUUUAACCCUUAAGGAGGUAGACCUAGGUUAAGGGAAGUAACUCUUAAAAUCAUCAGUACGUUUGUGUCAACCAUUUUUAAGAAUAUAUUCUAAGCUUCUAGGUUACAUAGAUUAUUUUCAAUCUGUUUCAGGUAAAUGCUUAAAAUACAUUGAUGAACUUGACUUUUACAAACGCUUAACUGAUUUAAAGAGUUAUCUCCCUGAACCAAGGUCUACCCCCUUAACUUAAAAUUGAAAAUGUUAAAUAAUAUAGAAUAAACAACAUGAAAAAACUCUGCAGAAAUAUUUUUCUCCCAAGUAAGAAAAGUAACCACAAUCAAAAGUACAUGACACCCAAAUAAUUCAAUCAUUACAUUCAACUGCACUACGAUGACUACAUUAACAUUGCAAAAGGGAGAGUCAAUGACGGAGAGUGAUUGAAUUAUUCGGGUUAAAGUACAUGUAAUUAUGCCAUACUUUUGGCUAAUAGAGCACCUCUACUCUUAACACCUACAUUAGAGAAAACAAGUGUUUUUACACCCACACUUCACCUUGAAAGAUACGGUAUGAGAUAAUAAUAAUAUAAUUAUAGAUAAUAUGGAUAAUCGUUAUGUUUUCCCACCAAUUAAAAUUAAUGUUAAAUAACUUGGGAGUGAAAACUAUGACUGAGUCACACGGUGAGAAUUGUUUGCUUUUAAUUUGCAAAUUUUUUAUGGUUUUGUUCUGUACGACCAGUUAUAAUACUUAUUGACAUAAUGUAAUGAAAAAUUUGCCACAAUAUUAAUAAUUUACCCUGAUGGUAUAAAAGUAAAUGUUUGGUAAAUAUUCAGUUAUAAUUUAUGUGCAAUUGGCAAACAUCGGGCGAAUCCGCUGCCCCUGUCGUUGUUACGGAAUCUGCCGAUGUGAACUUAUGUGAUUUUCAACACUUCGUAUGUGAGGUCAUGGUUAUGACUUUUUGCGUUCAGGCCUGGUUUGUCACUGAGUCGGGUGUGUCUAUUUCUGUGUUGAUCUUCAAUGCAUUAUGUAUUAUGGUUUUGUUUUCUGUAAUUAGUUAACGUCAGUUUGAUCAUGUAAAUCUUUUAUAUUCAUUUGAUAAAAUUUACUGUUUGCAACAGCAUAAAUGUUCUAUAUAAUAAGGAUGUUCUUAUCACAAGCAAAAAACCCUAGCCGUAUUUGGCACAACCUUUUUCAACUUUUGAUCCUCAGAGCUGUACAACUUUGUCCCCCUUUUUUUUGACUUUCAAACUUUUAUACCUGGGCGUCACUGGUAAGUCUUGUUUGUAGAAGGCGCGUUUUUGACGUAAUGAAUUUUAACCUGAUGCCUUUUGUUAUCUAUUAUUCAUGUGUUUCUAUGCCUAAUACGUUCUGCUAUUCAUUUGUAUUGUAGUCCUGUAUUAUUAUGUUGCUUUAAAUGUUAUAUUUAACAAUGCCAUCAAAGUGCGAGGUUUGGCAUGCCACAAAACCAGUUCAACCACCAUUUUUUUCUUUAAAACUGUCCUGUACCAAGUCAGGAAAAUGGCCAUUGUUAUAUCAUAGUUUGUUUCUGUGUGUGUAACAUUUUUACGUUGUGUUUCCGUUGUGUCGUUUGUUUUCUCCUAUUUUUGAGUGUGCAUUCACAUUAAUACUAAGACGUGUCACGGUACUUUUCUAUCCCAAAUUCAUGUAUUUGGUUUUGAUGUUAUAUGGUUGUUCUCAUCGGAUGUUGUCUAAUGCUUAGUCCGUUGCUGUGUGUGUUACAUUUUAAUGUUGUGUCGUUGUUCUCCUCUAAUAUUUAAUGCGGUUCCCUCAGUUUAGUUUGUUACCCCGAUUUUGUUUUUUGUCCAUAGAUUUAUGAGUUUAAACAGCGGUAUACUACUGUUGCCUUUAUUUAAGCUUCGUAGACUUAAAUAUAUUUAAUUGUGAUUUUUCAAGCUUCAAGGUAUUUUUAAUAAUUUUAUUCUAUUCAGUUGCUGUUUCAAAGACCAAAAGACCAAUACCGGAAUUUUACAAAUUGAAUAUACACAGAACUUUCUGUAUCUAAGUGUCGUUAAAUAGCUUUCAAAGUAAAGGAAUAAAUAAAUGCGAAUUUUGAAAGUUAUGUACCACAAAAAUACUGACCAACGACAAAAUAAAACCCCCCCAAAAAAAUCAAUUUAAAACUGAAAACAAGUUCGUGACUAAAAAUCUUCACCGUACAUUUAUAAAAACAUAAUAGAAUAGUUUAUAGUUAACUUUAAAAAUAGAUAUGUAUUUAUGUAUAUCAAAUAUGUUAUGUAGCCAUAUAAAAAAGUUAAUAUUUUAUUUAAUCUUAUAUAUUGGCUUUGAUCUUCUGAUACGUACUGGCUUAGGGGGAAUUAAUAUCGUAUAUUUUCCAGAAUGAGUUGAAAUGUUAUAGUUGGGUAUGAUUAAUAUUGAGUUCAUUCAGAAACUUGUUUUCAUGACACUUAUGGAGAAAAAUACGGAUGUUUGUUUACUUUGAUAGGAUUAACUGAUGAUUGGCAAUUAGAUAUAUUCCAUGCAGAGUAAGGAGAAACAUUUGGUGUUGCUGUAUUCAUUUUUUUUUAUUUGCAGAUCAAAAUAAGUGUUUUAUUUAUUUAUUUUUGUUUGAAAAUGGAAGGGGGAAUGUCGUUGCUUUUAUUAUUUAACAUUAAAUUUCGAGUUUACCGCUUGUAUGUCGAGGUAUCAGACUAAAUUUACGAUUUUCAAUAAUGUAGAUGAUAAAACUGAGAAUAAACAUAGGGCAUGCGUCAAAUAGAUUACAACAUUACCAGAGAGCAGAAAACAACCGAAUGCCUGCCACACAAUGUGUCGUUAACACAGCGAGAAAAUCCCGCACCCGGAGUCGAAUAUUCAAAAUUUAACUUCCUUUUUUUUAUUUCAGAUAUACAUACAAAGAAAAUUCGACAUGAGAUUGUGUGGACUGCUUGCCUUAAUUAGUGUAUCUAUUGUGAUUGUUGACAGUUCGCCUGCACUUAGUCGGCAUAAACGAGGAUUUCUAGCCGGAGUACAUGAUCGAAUGGGACAUGGUUUUGGUAAACGAACAGACCCAAUACUUUCAAGCUAUGUAGAUGACGUUGAUAAAGAG
RNAcentral lists this long non-coding RNA (14659 nucleotides) under Mytilus galloprovincialis (Mediterranean mussel). The record is from RNAcentral. Lineage: Eukaryota; Metazoa; Mollusca; Bivalvia; Mytilida; Mytilidae.